RNAcentral lists this unclassified non-coding RNA (200 nucleotides) under Leotiomycetes sp. Its description in RNAcentral is "partial internal transcribed spacer 2". Lineage: Eukaryota; Fungi; Ascomycota; Leotiomycetes. The record is from RNAcentral.
UUAAGUUCAGCGGGUAUCCCUACCUGAUCCGAGGUCAACUGGAGAAAUUGGGGGUUUGCUGGCCGCCGCCGCCUGGGUCCCAAAGCGAGAUAUCGCUACUACGCUUGAAGCCAGAGGACGCCGCCACUGAUUUUGAGGCCCGCCGGAUCACCGGCGCGACCCAAUACCAAGCAGAGCUUGAGGGGUGAAAUGACGCUCGA